GAUAAACGCUGGCGGCGUGCUUAGCACAUGCAAGUCGAACGAAGUUUUUCCUUCGGGAGACACUUAGUGGCGGACGGGUGAGUAACGCGUGGGUAACCUGCCCUGUACAGGGGGACAACAGCUGGAAACGGCUGCUAAUACCGCAUAAGCACUUAGCACUGCAUGGUGCAUAGGGAAAAGGAGCAAUCCGGUACAGGAUGGACCCGCGUCUGAUUAGCCAGUUGGCAGGGUAACGGCCUACCAAAGCGACGAUCAGUAGCCGAUCUGAGAGGAUGUACGGCCACAUUGGGACUGAGACACGGCCCAGACUCCUACGGGAGGCAGCAGUGGGGAAUAUUGCACAAUGGAGGAAACUCUGAUGCAGCGACGCCGCGUGAGUGAAGAAGUAUUUCGGUAUGUAAAGCUCUAUCAGCAGGGAAGAAAAUGACGGUACCUGACGAAGAAGCACCGGCUAAAUACGUG
RNAcentral lists this ribosomal RNA (462 nucleotides) under uncultured bacterium. RNAcentral describes it as "partial 16S ribosomal RNA". It matches the Rfam family "Bacterial small subunit ribosomal RNA", at positions 28 to 507 of the family's 1533-position model. The record is from RNAcentral.